GGCUAUCCCCACAGUUCACAGGGUCCCAUAAUAAUAAAACAACCAAGAAAAUCCACCUGUCUUUAUCCCUUCAUUAUUUGAAGUCUCUUAGUUUAGCUUUGGAGAGAAAAACAAAACUGGUGAGGCCAUUGAUCUUCAGGCUUUUAAACAGAUAAAGCUGUGCUGAAACAGAGUCGCCACAAUCAUUUUUUGCCGUCUCAAAAGCAGUUUUCACGCAAUCCCCACAGUUGGCUGUACCCAUAUCACCCUGGCACUGAGCUAGCACAUAAACAGAUUGAUAAUCCCCAGUGUAAAACAAGCUGCUACCACUUUUCACCCCUUCUUCCGCCAUGUUGAAAGCCGUCUCUCUUCUCUUCUCAAACUCCGUUCUUCCACUUGAUGACGACCCACAUACCUUGUACAAAAACUCUGUUUCUGGAACCUGUUUGAACCCAGAUAUCUCGUACCUUAAGUAACAUCCACUCAGCUGGACCCUGGCUGCUACUGCUUUCCCACAAACUUUAUCACUUAUUUUCGGGAUCUUGCUCACACAGCUGUAACACUGGCUUGUCGAUAGGUCCCCUCUGCAUUGAUAAAGUCCAUUGAUUGCAUUAGGGUCUUCACCAGAGGCUGCGGUGGAGAAAGUUCUCUGUGAUGAUUGUGAAACCAAAUCUUGCAUUAGAUUUUUGAGGUUCUGUAAGUAAAGCCCAGAUGGGUCUUGAAAUUUCUGGUCAGCGCAGCCCUUAAACACCAAGUUAGUAUAAUCUGCAGCUGUAGCAACAAAAGGAAAGGACCCCAAAAAGAUUGUGAUUGAAACCAAAGAUACAGAGAGCAAAGAAGGGGAUUUUCUAGGCAAACCCAUUGGAGAAAUGGAUUGUUUUAUUUUCUUCUCUGUCACAACAUGGAAGUGAUGGUUGUAAAAAGAGGGCUUGUAUGGGAGCUUCGAGAUUUGGGUUUUAGCUGGAAACAAGAGCGCUGUUGCUAUAUAUGGCCUUCAGUCCGAACGCUUACCUUUAUUUCUUUGGGAAGUUGCUUUAUUUCUUUGUAAUCUUCCUUUGCUUUCUUCAAAUCCUUAAGUGCUUAACUUUAAAGAUAGAAGAUGGAUUAAUAAUUGUUUGACGGAGACAUUUGAAAUUGAAUUUUUCCUCUUAAUUUCAUAAAUACAUUAUUAUUUCAUAAUACAA
Gossypium arboreum is the source of this 1163-nucleotide long non-coding RNA. RefSeq lists it as uncharacterized. The record is from RefSeq and is a predicted model, not a curated record. Lineage: Eukaryota; Viridiplantae; Streptophyta; Magnoliopsida; Malvales; Malvaceae. The transcript has 2 exons.